This 452-nucleotide ribosomal RNA is filed under the name uncultured bacterium. RNAcentral describes it as "bacterial SSU rRNA". It matches the Rfam family "Bacterial small subunit ribosomal RNA", at positions 29 to 526 of the family's 1533-position model. The record is from RNAcentral.
AGCGAACGCUGGCGGCAGGCUUAACACAUGCAAGUCGAACGCAUCCUUCGGGGUGAGUGGCAGACGGGUGAGUAACACGUGGGAACGUACCUUUUGGUUCGGAACAACUGAGGGAAACUUCAGCUAAUACCGGAUACGCCCUUAUGGGGAAAGAUUUAUCGCCGAAAGAUCGGCCCGCGUCUGAUUAGCUAGUUGGUGAGGUAAUGGCUCACCAAGGCGACGAUCAGUAGCUGGUCUGAGAGGAUGAUCAGCCACACUGGGACUGAGACACGGCCCAGACUCCUACGGGAGGCAGCAGUGGGGAAUAUUGGACAAUGGGCGCAAGCCUGAUCCAGCCAUGCCGCGUGAGUGAUGAAGGCCUUAGGGUUGUAAAGCUCUUUUAUCCGGGACGAUAAUGACGGUACCGGAAGAAUAAGCCCCGGCUAACUUCGUGCCAGCAGCCGCAGUAAAAC